RNAcentral lists this ribosomal RNA (465 nucleotides) under uncultured bacterium. Its description in RNAcentral is "SSU rRNA". It matches the Rfam family "Bacterial small subunit ribosomal RNA", at positions 26 to 518 of the family's 1533-position model. The record is from RNAcentral.
AGGACGAACGCUGGCGGCGUGCUUAACACAUGCAAGUCGAACGAGGCCUUGUGCCUAGUGGCGAACGGGUGAGUAACACGUGAGCAACCUGCCCCUGGCUCUGGGAUAGCCUCCGGAAACGGGGAUUAAUACCGGACAUGACCUGCCUCCGCAUGGUGGCGGGUGGAAAGUUUUUCGGCCGGGGAGGGGCUCGCGGCCUAUCAGCUUGUUGGGGGGGUAACGGCCCACCAAGGCGACGACGGGUAGCCGGCCUGAGAGGGCGACCGGCCACACUGGGACUGAGACACGGCCCAGACUCCUGCGGGAGGCAGCAGUGGGGAAUAUUGCACAAUGGGGGGAACCCUGAUGCAGCGACGCCGCGUGCGGGAUGAAGGCCUUCGGGUUGUAAACCGCUUUCACCAGGGACGAAGCGAGAGUGACGGUACCUGGGGAAGAAGCGCCGGCUAACUACGUGCCAGCAGCCGC